GCGACCCCAGAAUUGGCGAGGCCACCCGCCGAGUUUAAGCAUAUCAAUA
Molecule: ribosomal RNA, 49 nt
Filed under: Dendrobium sulcatum
Lineage: Eukaryota; Viridiplantae; Streptophyta; Magnoliopsida; Asparagales; Orchidaceae
Description: partial 26S ribosomal RNA
Source: RNAcentral